AUCUCGCAGAAAUUGUUCAACUUUUCACAACGCAGUCGAUAAAAUAGUCAUUUCUCCCCUCCGCUGAUACAUCGGAAGCCUUUGUUGUGAAAAUCUUUGUGUUUAUCUCGGGAAGAAAAGUUGGAAAUUGCUCUUUCUUGGGUAACUUGUGGCCCGCGCUACGAUCUGGUUACAAACAACACCCUCGAAA
This is a long non-coding RNA of Bradysia coprophila, 190 nucleotides long. NCBI's taxonomy places the organism in Eukaryota, Metazoa, Arthropoda, Insecta, Diptera, Sciaridae. The record is from RefSeq and is a predicted model, not a curated record.